This 1435-nucleotide ribosomal RNA is filed under the name uncultured marine bacterium. RNAcentral describes it as "bacterial SSU rRNA". It matches the Rfam family "Bacterial small subunit ribosomal RNA". The record is from RNAcentral.
GAGUUUGAUCAUGGCUCAGAACGUACGCUGGCGGCACGCCUAACACAUGCAAGUCGAACGAAGUAGCAAUACUUAGUGGCAGACGGGUGAGUAACAUGUAGGUAUCUGCCCUUUGGCCUGGAAUAACACGAGGAAACUUGUGCUAAUACCGGAUAAGUCUUUACGGAGAAAGCUUUAUGCACCAUUGGAUGAGCCUGCACUUGAUUAGUUUGUUGGUGGGGUAAUGGCCUACCAAGACUGUGAUCAAUAGCUGAUUUGAGAGGAUGAUCAGCCACAUUGGGACUGAGACACGGCCCAAACUCCUACGGGAGGCAGCAGUGGGGAAUCUUGCACAAUGGAGGAAACUCUGAUGCAGCGAUGCCGCGUGAGUGAAGAAGGCCUUUGGGUUGUAAAGCUCUUUCGUCGGGGAAGAAAAUGACUGUACCCGAAUAAGAAGGUCCGGCUAACUUCGUGCCAGCAGCCGCGGUAAUACGAAGGGACCUAGCGUAGUUCGGAAUUACUGGGCUUAAAGAGUUCGUAGGUGGUUGAAAAAGUUAGUGGUGAAAUCCCAGAGCUUAACUCUGGAACUGCCAUUAAAACUUUUCAGCUAGAGUAUGAUAGAGGAAAGCAGAAUUUCUAGUGUAGAGGUGAAAUUCGUAGAUAUUAGAAAGAAUACCAAUUGCGAAGGCAGCUUUCUGGAUCAUUACUGACACUGAGGAACGAAAGCAUGGGUAGCGAAGAGGAUUAGAUACCCUCGUAGUCCAUGCCGUAAACGUUGUGUGUUAGACGUUGGAAAUUUAUUUUCAGUGUCGCAGGGAAACCGAUAAACACACCGCCUGGGGAGUACGACCGCAAGGUUAAAACUCAAAUGAAUUGACGGGGACCCGCACAAGUAGUGGAGCAUGUGGUUUAAUUCGAAGAUACGCGCAGAACCUUACCAACACUUGACAUGUUCGUCGCGACUCUAAGAGAUUAGAGUUUUCGGUUCGGCCGGACGAAACACAGGUGCUGCAUGGCUGUCGUCAGCUCGUGUCGUGAGAUGUUGGGUUAAGUCCCGCAACGAGCGCAACCCUCACUUUUAGUUGCCAUCAUUAAGUUGGGCACUCUGAAAGAACUGCCAGUGAUAAGCUGGAGGAAGGCGGGGAUGACGUCAAGUCCUCAUGGCCCUUACGUGUUGGGCUACACACGUGCUACAAUGGUAUCUACAACAGGAAGCAAGACUGCGAAGUUAAGCAAAUCCCUAAAAGAUACCUCAGUUCGGAUUGCACUCUGCAACUCGAGUGCAUGAAGCUGGAAUUACUAGUAAUCGUGGAUCAGCGUGCCACGGUGAAUGCGUUCCCGGGUCUUGUACACACCGCCCGUCACACCAUGGGAGUUGGUUCUACCUUAAGGCAAGGUUUCAAACCCUUGACCACGGUAUAGUCAGCGACUGGGGUGAAGUCGUAACAAGGUAACC